RNAcentral lists this ribosomal RNA (416 nucleotides) under uncultured bacterium. RNAcentral's name for it is "partial 16S ribosomal RNA". It matches the Rfam family "Bacterial small subunit ribosomal RNA", at positions 360 to 773 of the family's 1533-position model. The record is from RNAcentral.
AAUAUUUGUCAAUGGGCGAGAGCCUGAACCAGCCAAGUAGCGUGCAGGAUGACGGCCCUACGUGUUGUACACUGCUUUUUCUGGGGAAUAACCGGCGUCACGUGUGGCGCCAUGCAUGUACCCGGUGAAUAAGGACCGGCUAAUUCCGUGCCCGCAGCCGCGGUAAUACGGAAGGUCCGAGCGUUAUCCGGAUUUAUUGGGUUUAAAGGGUGCGUAGGCGGGAGAACAAGUCAGCCGUGAAAUCGCGUGGCUCAACCACGCCUAGCGGUUGAAACUGUUUUUCUUGAGUACGGUGAGGGAAGGCGGAAUUCGUGGUGUAGCGGUGAAAUGCAUAGAUAUCACGAAGAACUCCGAUCGCGUAGGCAGCUUUCCGUACCGGUUACUGACGCUGAGGCACGAAGGUGCGGGUAUCGAAC